GGAGAUGGGCUGUGGCUCAACGGCAAAGCAUCUCUUUGGUAUGCGGAAGGUCGCCGGUUCAAUCCCUGCCAUCUCCA
Molecule: transfer RNA, 77 nt
Filed under: Sphaerodactylus townsendi
Lineage: Eukaryota; Metazoa; Chordata; Lepidosauria; Squamata; Sphaerodactylidae
Description: tRNA-Thr
Source: RNAcentral